RNAcentral lists this ribosomal RNA (256 nucleotides) under uncultured bacterium. RNAcentral describes it as "partial small subunit ribosomal RNA". It matches the Rfam family "Bacterial small subunit ribosomal RNA", at positions 26 to 285 of the family's 1533-position model. The record is from RNAcentral.
AGGACGAACGCUGGCGGCGUGCUUAACACAUGCAAGUCGAGCGGAAAGGCCCUUCGGGGUACUCGAGCGGCGAACGGGUGAGUAACACGUGAGCAACCUGCCCCUGGCUCUGGGAUAGCCUUCGGAAACGGGGAUUAAUACCGGAUAUUCACUGUCUUCCGCAUGGUUGGGCGGUGGAAAGUUUUUCGGCUGGGGAGGGGCUCGCGGUCUAUCAGCUUGUUGGGCGGGUAACGGCCCACCAAGGCGACGACGGAUA